This 78-nucleotide antisense RNA is filed under the name Streptomyces mangrovisoli. Its description in RNAcentral is "ASpks TB sRNA". It matches the Rfam family "ASpks TB sRNA". Lineage: Bacteria; Bacillati; Actinomycetota; Actinomycetes; Kitasatosporales; Streptomycetaceae. The record is from Rfam by way of RNAcentral.
CUUCAGCGAGCCCAGCCACAGCGGCUCACCACCCUCGCCACGGUCCUGCCCGUAGGUGGCGAGUACCGCCUGCGCCUC